Molecule: RNA transcript, 6539 nt
Organism: Fragaria vesca subsp. vesca
Lineage: Eukaryota; Viridiplantae; Streptophyta; Magnoliopsida; Rosales; Rosaceae
Exons: 12
Source: RefSeq, a predicted model, not a curated record
GGCUCUGCCAGGCUAGCUAGUCACUACUUACCCUAGCUACCUCCUAACACAAGCAAUACUUAAUAUAUGAUGGCCUUGGUACCUGAGAAGAUGCUUACUAUUAUGCAGCUCUAUUUCAUAGCGGCUGCAACGAUCACAAUUCUUCUAGCUGCAGAGUCCACAGCGCUUCCUCAAGCCAAGCCAGGAUGCCAAGAGAAGUGCGGUGAUCUCAUAAUCCCAUACCCGUUUGGCGUAGGCGAAUUCUGUUCGAUGCGACCAGAGUUCACCGUUACUUGCGAUCAAUCCACUACAGCAGCACCCUCAUCAGCAAACUUUACAAACAGUACCUUCACCUUUCCCAUCACCAUUUCUAACUUUUCUCUUGUUGACGGUGAGUUACAAGUACUGCAGGCCAUAGCCCGAGAUUGUUUUGACGAGGAGGGUAAUACUACAAACAUCGGGAGUGUGCUACAGCUACCUCCUUCUUACACCAUAUCUACCAGAAACGACUUCUUCAUCAUUGGCUGUAACGUUUUAGGAGUCUUUGGGGAAGGUGUGGAUGUGGGAUACGAAACAGGAAUAAAUUCGGCCUUCUGUAUGGAUUUUCUUCCCAAUUUGACCAAGUCUUGCUCCGGCGUUGGGUGCUCCAGAACUACCGUCCCCGGUGGAAUGCAAAAUGUUAGUAUUCUCAUGGAGAAAAUGAACGACUUUAACGCAACCGACCUGUGGCAAUCAAACUACCCGUGCAGCUACGCCUUCAUUGUGAAAGACGGAAAUUUCACGUUCGACCCGGAAUCAAGUUUUCAGCAACUGAAAACCACAAGGCAGCAGCUUCCAGUGGCUGUGAAUUGGGCUGUCGGGGAUAAGUCUUGUGAAGAAGCAACUCAUUUAUGCGCAGGAAAUGCGUCCUGUGUCGACCGAAGUACCAUCACCGAUGGGAUGGUUGGUUAUAUUUGCCGGUGCUGGCCAGGUUACGAAGGAAAUCCUUAUCUCGGUUGCCAAGAUAUUGACGAGUGCACCGCUUUAGUACCGGGACGCUGUGAGUAUGGGAGGUGCGUAAAUUCACCUCCAGGAAAUUACUCAUGCGAGUGCAGUAAAGGAUUUAAAAACCUAGACGCCAUGACUUGUAUACCCAAUUCCUCGUCAAACAACACUACUUCCUGGAAAAUUUCAUUGGGUUUCAGUAUAGGCUUCUUGGUUUUUAAUGGUUUUUAAUCUUGUGGAUUUAUCGGGGAGUGAACAAAAGGAGACUCGUGAGACUCAAAAAAAAGAACUUCAGAGAAAACGGCGGCCCAACACUACAACAACAGCUCGCUAGUCAUGGAGGAUCUGUUGAGACAGCAAAAAUCUUUACUGCGGAGGAACUUAAGAAAGCCACAAACAAUUACCAUGUAGAUGAAAUCCUUGGAGAAGGAGGCUAUGGAACAGUUUACAAAGGGACGCUACAUGAUAAGAAUGUUGUUGCCAUAAAGAAGCCAAAGAUUGGCGCUCCAACUGAAAGUGAUCAGUUCGUUAAUGAGGUUAUCGUUCUUUCUCAAAUCAAACACAGAAAUAUAGUGAAACUAUUAGGUUGUUGUUUCGAGACCGAAGUGCCUUUAUUAGUAUACGAGUACAUCACUCAUGGUACUCUUUUCGAGCAUCUAUUCAAAAAUGGAAAAGGAUAUUCCUCGCUUUCAUGGGAAUUACGAUUGAAGAUAGCAUCAGAAACGGCAGGGGCAUUAGCAUACUUACACUCCUCUACUUCCACUCCAAUCAUACAUCGAGACGUGAAAUCUAUGAAUAUAUUAUUGGAUGACAAAUACACUGCCAAAGUGUCUGAUUUCGGAGCUUCACGUUUCAUUCCUCUAGAUCAAACUCAACUUGCAACACUAGUUCAAGGGACGCUUGGGUACUUGGAUCCUGAAUACUUUCAUUCAAACCAGCUGACCGAAAAGAGCGACGUCUAUAGCUUUGGAGUUGUCCUAGCGGAGCUACUAACAAGUAGAGUUGCACUUUCUUUUGCUAGGCCGGACAAGGAGAGAUGUCUAGCAAGCUUCUUUGUUUCUUCAAUUGAAAACGAUCGCUUGAUUCAGAUUCUUGAUGCUGAUAUGGUGAAUGAGGGGAACAUAGAGACAGUAGAGCAAGUAGCGAGACUGGCAAAAAGAUGUUUGAUGAUAAAAGGCGACGAAAGGCCUACGAUGAGGGAAGUUGCCAUGGAGUUAGAAGGGAUGAGAAUUACGGCAAAGCAUACAUGGAAAAAUGGCGAUUCCGGCUUCGAGGAGACUGAGUACUUGCUCGGGUCACAUGAUUCAGCUGCUUCCGUGGUGAAUAUUGGAGGCGGAGGUGACGGUGGUUCGAGCGUUACAAAUACUGUCUCACUAGACCCAUUGUUCUUCUACAUUCCCAUCAUCGAUGGAGAAGAAAAGUGCCUUGGAGUAGACAAAGAGUUGAGGACUAUAGCUCUCAUUCUGCGAUCUCUCACUGAUGUUACUAUCGUUGUGAAUAUCAUAUAUCAUGUUUGCAUCGCCAUUAACGCUGCUUACAAAGCACACAAAGGAAAUAAGAAUGAAUUAGAAUGGGAUUGGGAAUUUUCAAAGGUAUCGGCAGCUGAGAUAAUUCCAUUUGCUAAAUUAGUUGCUUGGAAGCUAGCAUGGCACUAUACGCUAACCAGCAUUUUAGCUGUUUUUCCAAUGCCACAGUCCGAAUCUUCAUCUUCAUCCGAAUCCGAGAUUGACUGUGAGGAAGACAAGUCCGACAUCGACAUGACCGACUCACCACUCAAAUCUGCUUUCAUCCCCACAGCCCCGGAAUCAUCUUCAUGCAUUGCUUUUACUGUGCCUAAUGAAGCCAACUUCUCCAUACCGGUUCAGUUGCUUGGGCAAUUGCCUAAGUACUCGGGUUCUCCAAUGGAGGACCCUAAUGUUCACCUUAGAGAGUUUCUCGAUAUCUGCAGAUUUCUUUUAUUUCCUUUUACUCUUAAAGAUGAUGCUAAGCGUUGGUUGUAUUCUUUGUCUGCAGGAAUCAUCACCAAUUGGAAUGAGAUGACCUCGAAGUUCUUGAAACAAUUCUUCCCUGCGCAACUCACGAAGAAGCUAAGGAGGGAGAUUCAGAAUUUCACUCAAAAGGAUGGUGACAGUCUCUAUGAGGCAUGGGAAGAGUUUCAGGAACUUCAGAGGAAGUGCCCUCAUCAUGGAAUUACUUUGGACGAGUUAGUUCAAGCUUUUUAUGAGGGACUUGACAACACCAACAAGGGUAUGGUGGACUCUGCAUGUGGAUGCACAUUUAUGAACAAGACCGGACGGCAAGCAUAUAACUUAAUUGAGGACUUGGCAGAUAACAAUGGUCAAUUCAGCACCAAGAACUCAAGGAAGUCGGCAGGAGGCCGUGGUGGUGUCUAUGACAUUGAAGCUCAGAAUCAGAUGAUCACGUUGGAUAGGAAGCUUGAUGUCUUGGUCAAGGCUUUCAAUGGUUCGAAUCUUGGCAACCAAGCUUGUGGAAUUUGCUCACUUUCGGAUCACUCUACAGAUUCAUGUCCGAAUGGUGCCUUGAGUGAGGCGGAGUUGAACUUUAUGGGACAACAGAGGCAACGUUAUGAUCCAUAUUCGAACACUUACAAUCCUGGAAUUAGAGAUCAUCCGAAUUUUCGGUGGAGUAACAACAAUGCUCAACCGGCCAAUAUUCAAGGUCAAGGACCUCGUCCUUCAGGUUUGUUCAUGAGGCCUCAGGUACCUCAAGGUUUUGUUCCUAACUCUUCUAAUUUCGCGCCUAAUAAUGCCAAUGUUCAAGGUUCAAAUAAUAAUGCUAGUUCUUCUACUCCUAAUUAUGAUGAACUCUUGAAGUCCCUUGCUCAAGGGCAACAGAACUUAACAUCUGCAACUCAAGCUUUAGUGACAGGUCAACAGGCUAAUUCUAAAGAGAUCACGGAGCUCAAGAAGCAGAUGGGACAGGUUUCGCGUUCUGCCCAGUACGAAAGGAGUCUUUCGCACAAGGACUCGCCAGCCUCGCGUGCCUCCUCUGAGAAGGCACUAUUCAUCAGAACGGGGUGUGGGAUCCGCGAUGGUGUGAGGACGUUGCAAGUCGUCCUUCGCCUGGUUGGCGGAGAUGGAGAAUGGCCGUGGGUCGGCUUUGAUGAUGACCGCUUCACGGUUCUCGGUGUCCCAAAUCAUGAGUUCUUGGUGCAUGGAGGAAGGCACGCAAAAGCUUCUGUGGAUCCAAUCUCGGCCAAGAAUCAUGCUGUUCUGGUGAUGGCUUGCGUCUGGAAGGCUGUGGAUCCUGCUUUGGUGGAACCGCGAGUCGGCAAAAGACGUUUGCUUUGGGCGCAGGCUCGUCGCCAAACUGCUCGCAAAUCCUUGGGGCUCUUCUCGAGUCCUGGGACUCAUAGGCUGGGAAUCUUCAACGGGGGACGAUCCAUCGUCCCUUAUGACUGCUUUGCCCUUAUCUUUGCGGGAGGGGCGGUCUGUAACCCUAGCAUCACUCAAGCGCCAAGGCCUGCAACCUGCUCCGACCGCUGCGGUGAUGUCGAAAUCCCAUAUCCAUUAGGCAUAGAGCCUAGCUGUUACAUGGAGGUGCCGGAACAAGAUGAACAGAAAUUCAAGGUCACCUGUGACCAGGCCACCACGCCACCGUUACUCAAGUUCUUGAACGGUGAUAUCCUCAACCAAAGCAUUACUAACAUUUCUGUAGGUGAGAGUGAGAUGCAAGUAAUGCUGCCCACAUCCCGGAACUGCUACACCGACGGUUACUACAACGAUUCUUUGUACAGAAACAGUGAGCUCAUCCUCCCCUCUGGUUACACCAUCUCUGAUAAGAACAAGGUUUAUAUCAUUGGAUGUAACAAAAUAGCACUAUACCAAGGUUUAGUUACCCAAGUCGAGCCAGAGCGAACAGAAAUCGAGAAGCUGGGGACAACCGGCGUGAGCUUGUGCCAAGAUCUACUCGGAGCGUUGUCCAACAAUUGCAGUGGCGUCGGGUGUACCCAAAGGACCAUCAUAAGUGGACUUCACAGUAUUAACUUGGAUGUGUGGACAAUCGGUGCAGGCCUUGGAAGCACAUCACAGUGGACACUAGACUACCCGUGCAGCUACGGUUUCAUUGUGGAUGAUCGCAAUUUCACCUUCGCAGGGAAUGCAACUUUUAAAGAGAUGGACAGCCGCACAAACGCGCCGAAGCUUCCGGUGACUGUUAACUGGGAAAUUGGAAAGAACAACUGUGAAGUUGCCCUCAAUAAUCAAACUUCUUAUGCAUGCAAGGCCGCAAAUACUGAAUGUGUCAACGGCACUUCAGGUGGAUAUUUCUGCCGCUGCCAGAAAGGUUACCAAGGGAACCCUUACGUGCUUGGUGGUUGCGAAGGUAUCUGUUUGAGCUUCCUAGUCGUAUUAAUUAUAACAUUUUGGAUAUACUGCGGAAUGAAAAGAAGAAAGUUCAAGCAACUCAAAGAGAAGUACUUCAAAGACAAUGGUGGCUUCUUGUUACAACAAAAAUUGGAGAAUUUUAACGGACCUCAAGAAGCAGCCAAAAUCUUUACAAGAGAAGAGCUUAAGAAGGCCACAAACAACUUCGAUGACCGCGGAAAAAUUGGCGAAGGAGGCUACGGAUUUGUUUUCAAAGGAACAUUGACGGAUAGAAAGGAGGUUGCCAUAAAGGUGUCGAAGAGUAAUGCCCCAAUGACCCAAAGUAAUCAGUUCAUCAAUGAGGUGAUUGUUCUUUCACAAAUCAACCAUAGAAAUGUGGUGAGGCUCCUAGGUUGUUGCUUAGAGACUCAAACUCCUUUGUUAGUUUACGAGUUUGUUAGCAAUGGCACACUUUAUGAGCACAUUCAUAAGAAGAAUGGCAAGGGUCCGCUUUCUUUUGGGUUACGAAUGAAGAUAGCAGCAGAAACUGCAGGAUCUCUAUCAUACUUGCACUACUCCACUUCCAUGCAAAUCGUGCACCGAGAUGUGAAAGCAACCAAUAUACUAUUGGAUGAGAAUUUCACAGCCAAAGUAUCAGACUUUGGAGCUUCGAAAUUGGUUCCUGAAGAUCAAAAUCAGCUGUCCACUUUAGUACAAGGAACGCUGGGUUACCUAGACCCUGAAUAUCUCCAGUCAAACACACUGACAGAAAAGAGUGAUGUCUAUAGCUUCGGCGUUGUUCGUGUUGAGCUUAUAACGAGUCAAGUGGCAAUUUCUCACAAGAAGCCUGAGGCAGAGAGAAACCUAGCGAACUGUUUUGUAACGUCGGUGGAAGAGAAUCGCUUGGCUGAUAUUCUUGAUCUUGAAAUUAUCAAGGAGGGAAGCUUUGAAAUAGCUGAACAAGUAGCCCAUCUCGCCAAAAGAAGUUUAAGUUUGAAAGGAGGAGAUAGGCCUACCAUGAAAGAAGUAGCAAUGGAGCUAGAGGUAAUACUGGCUGUUAUGGCAAAGCAUCCUGGAGGAAAGCCCGACUCCUCCCCCAAAGAGACCGAUUACUUGCUUGCAGCGUCACCUUCAAACGCUUACGUUGUUGAUGUUAGAAGUGAUGAAGGUGAAGUCAUAACCAGCAUAGAUUAUGACCAGAGCAUGCAUAAUCAAUCCCAGAUGAUGAAGCCUUAUGAUGGUGGGAGAUAG